AGGAUGAACGCUGGCGGCGUGCUUAACACAUGCAAGUCGAACGAGGUCCAUGGAGCUUGCUCCGGACGACCUAGUGGCGAACGGGUGCGUAACACGUGAGAAACCUGCCCCGAUCUCUGGGAUAACAGUUGGAAACGACUGCUAAUACCGGAUGCCGUCACACCGCUUCAUGGCGGAGUGCCGAAAGAUUCAUCGGAUCGGGAGGGUCUCGCGGCCUAUCAGCUAGUUGGAGAGGUAACGGCUCACCAAGGCAUCGACGGGUAGCUGGUCUGAGAGGAUGAUCAGCCACACUGGGACUGAGACACGGCCCAGACUCCUACGGGAGGCAGCAGUGGGGAAUCCUGCACAAUGGGCGAAAGCCUGAUGCAGCAACGCCGCGUGCGGGAAGAAGGCCCUAGGGUUGUAAACCGCUUUCAGUAGGGAAGAAAUGACGGUACCUACAGAAGAAGGUGCGGCAACUACGUGCCAGCAGCCGCGGUAAU
Molecule: ribosomal RNA, 482 nt
Filed under: uncultured bacterium
Lineage: Bacteria
Description: SSU rRNA
Rfam family: Bacterial small subunit ribosomal RNA
Source: RNAcentral